RNAcentral lists this ribosomal RNA (237 nucleotides) under uncultured Glomus. RNAcentral's name for it is "partial 18S ribosomal RNA". The stretch from base 40 to 237 matches the Rfam family "Eukaryotic small subunit ribosomal RNA", at positions 686 to 884 of the family's 1831-position model. The record is from RNAcentral. Lineage: Eukaryota; Fungi; Glomeromycota; Glomeromycetes; Glomerales; Glomeraceae.
GGGUUAGUAGGUUGGUCAUGCCUCCGGUAUGUACUGGUCUCACUGAUUCCUCCUUCCUGACGAACCGUAAUGCCAUUAAUUUGGUGUUGCGGGGAAUUUGGACUGUUACUUUGAAAAAAUUAGAGUGUUUAAAGCAGGCAUCCGUCUGAAUACAUUAGCAUGGAAUAAUAAAAUAGGACGGUUUGGUUCUAUUUUGUUGGUUUCUAGAGUCGCCGUAAUGAUUAAUAGGGAUAGUUG